Molecule: long non-coding RNA, 382 nt
Filed under: Mytilus galloprovincialis (Mediterranean mussel)
Lineage: Eukaryota; Metazoa; Mollusca; Bivalvia; Mytilida; Mytilidae
Source: RNAcentral
UUUUCAGAAAAAUAAGUUUUGCAUUUAAAUCGGCACUGACCUUUACAAUCACCUUUGAUUUUUUUACUUUUAACCUUUUUCCCCUUAACAUCAAUGUACUCUUUCCCAGACUGUCUUCUUUUUUUUCUUAUAUUUUGUUUCCAAAUUUCUGUUUUUCUUACUCUUUUUCUACCUCUGGGCUCAUUGUUUUCUGUUGUCGAAGGAGCAGAGUCAUUAGAAUCUGCACUUUCAACAACAGUAUCUACCAUGCAUUUGAUAAUAUGAUUAACUUCAUUUUUCAAAGUUAGGUUUUCAUUUAACAUAUCAACAUUUUCAAAGGGAAGAGAGUUAUUAAAAUCAAAACUGUUUUGUUCACAGUCAUCAUGUAAUAUAACAACAGUUG